GGGUUGUGGCUCAGUGGUAGAGCACUUACCUAGCAUGUGUGAGGUACCAGAUUCAAUUCUGAGCACUGCUCA
This 72-nucleotide transfer RNA is filed under the name Marmota monax (woodchuck). RNAcentral's name for it is "tRNA.Ala". The record is from RNAcentral. Lineage: Eukaryota; Metazoa; Chordata; Mammalia; Rodentia; Sciuridae.